CCUGAUGCAGCAACGCCGCGUGAGGGAUGACGGCCUUCGGGUUGUAAACCUCUUUUAGCAAGGAAGAAGCGAAAGUGACGGUACUUGCAGAAAAAGCGCCGGCUAACUACGUGCCAGCAGCCGCGGUAAUACGUAGGGCGCAAGCGUUAUCCGGAAUUAUUGGGCGUAAAGAGCUCGUAGGCGGUUUGUCGCGUCUGCUGUGAAAUCCCGAGGCUCAACCUCGGGCCUGCAGUGGGUACGGGCAGACUAGAGUGCGGUAGGGGAGAUUGGAAUUCCUGGUGUAGCGGUGGAAUGCGCAGAUAUCAGGAGGAACACCGAUGGCGAAGGCAGAUCUCUGGGCCGUAACUGACGCUGAGGAGCGAAAGGGUGGGGAGCAAACAGGCUUAGAUACCCUGGUAGUCCACCCCGUAAACGUUGGGAACUAGUUGUGGGGUCCUUUCCACGGAUUCCGUGACGCAGCUAACGCAUUAAGUUCCCCGCCUGGGGAGUACGGCCGCAAGGCUAAAACUCAAAGGAAUUGACGGGGACCCGCACAAGCGGCGGAGCAUGCGGAUUAAUUCGAUGCAACGCGAAGAACCUUACCAAGGCUUGACAUACACGAGAACACUCUAGAAAUAGGGGACUCUUUGGACACUCG
Molecule: ribosomal RNA, 637 nt
Filed under: Microbacterium sp. So2Ps_1642
Lineage: Bacteria; Bacillati; Actinomycetota; Actinomycetes; Micrococcales; Microbacteriaceae
Description: bacterial SSU rRNA
Rfam family: Bacterial small subunit ribosomal RNA
Source: RNAcentral